Molecule: unclassified non-coding RNA, 298 nt
Filed under: Melitaea cinxia (Glanville fritillary)
Lineage: Eukaryota; Metazoa; Arthropoda; Insecta; Lepidoptera; Nymphalidae
Description: misc RNA ENSMCXG00005008560.1
Source: RNAcentral
UCGUCUCCUGUCAAAGAUUUUCAUUGUAAUAUGAAACUUUGAAUAGUUACGGGUCUCUGUAAAGAACUCACUAUAGACGGCGCCACGGUUCGCUUAAACCGAAAAUAAAAAUCAUCAUAUCAAAAGUUUCGCUCUAGCGGUAGUGUUCGUUCUGUAGCUUAUACUUAUAUCCGCUCCAUUGACUUCCAAAGAGUAUUAUUUACUUCCCGCUAUCAAGGAAUAUAAAAGCGGAAUUGAAAAUUUCAAUGCAGUUCGAGUUAUAGCAAAGUUCGCUAUGAGAGUAUUGUUAACCUUUAAG